GAUGAACGCUGGCGGCGUGCCUAAUACAUGCAAGUCGAGCGAACAGACGAGGAGCUUGCUCCUUUGACGUUAGCGGCGGACGGGUGAGUAACACGUAGGUAACCUACCUAUAAGACUGGGAUAACUUCGGGAAACCGGAGCUAAUACCGGAUAAUAUUUCGAACCGCAUGGUUCGAUAGUGAAAUAUGGCUUUGCUAUCACUUAUAGAUGGACCUGCGCCGUAUUAGCUAGUUGGUAAGGUAACGGCUUACCAAGGCAACGAUACGUAGCCGACCUGAGAGGGUGAUCGGCCACACUGGCACUGAGACACGGUCCAGACUCCUACGGGGGGACGCAGUAGGGAAUCUUACGCAAUGGACGAAAGCCUGACGGAGCAACGCCGCGUGAGUGAUGAAGGUCUUCGGAUCGUAAAACUAUGUUAUUAGGGAAGAACAAACGUGUAAGUAACUGUGAACGUCUUGACGGUACCUAAUCAGAAAGCCACGGCUAACUCCGUG
Molecule: ribosomal RNA, 497 nt
Filed under: uncultured bacterium
Lineage: Bacteria
Description: partial 16S ribosomal RNA
Rfam family: Bacterial small subunit ribosomal RNA
Source: RNAcentral